GAACCGACACUAUCUGGUGUGCUCUUAAUGAAUUUGGAGCAUGAAGUGGAGUCUGAUCACUCAUUAUCAUAUCAACAGGUCCUGAAAGGGAGUACAUGCCCCACUAUGCUCAAAGGAUGCCAUAUUGUCAACUCAGUUUGUCAUGCAGAUCAUGAUGUACUGUCAGAAAGUAGUCAUAUGUCCUCGAGAUGCUGCGGGCCACAUGGGGUGAU
Molecule: non-coding RNA, 212 nt
Organism: Triticum urartu
Lineage: Eukaryota; Viridiplantae; Streptophyta; Magnoliopsida; Poales; Poaceae
Source: RefSeq, a predicted model, not a curated record